GCAGCCCACGGCCUGGUACUGCGAGACCAGGGUGUGUAACAUGUCGAGCUCUCCUGCCCUUGAACUCUGGGAUAAGCGCUGGAAACGGCGAUCUACUACCGGAUACGACCUGCCCCGGCAUCGAGGUGUGGGUGGAAAGUUUUUCGGUCAAGGAUGGACUCGCGGCCUAUCAGCUUGUUGGUGAGGUAAUGGCUCACCAAGGCGACGACGGGUAGCCGGCCUGAGAGGGUGACCGGCCACACUGGGACUGAGACACGGCCCAGACUCCUACGGGAGGCAGCAGUGGGGAAUAUUGCACAAUGGGCGAAAGCCUGAUGCAGCAACCGCCGCGUGGGGGAUGACGGCCUUCGGGUUGUAAACCUCUUUUAGUAGGGAAGAAGGCUUCCGGCUUGAACGGUACCUGCCAGAAAAAGCACCCGGCUAACUACGUGCCAGCAGCCGCGGUAAUACGUAGGGUGCAAGCGUUGUUCCGGAAUUAUUGGGCGUUAAAGAGCUCGUAGGCGGUUUGUCCCCGUCUGCUGUGAAAAACCCGAAGGCUCAACCCUCGGGUCUGGCAAUGGGGUACGGGCCGAACCAAGUGGGGUAAUGGGGAAAUUGGAAUUCCCGGCGGUAACGGUGGAAAUGCCCCAAAUUUCACGGGAGAACCCCCAAUGGGCAACGGCAAGUUCUUCUGGGCCCGUUACUUGACACCUUAAGGAGCCAAAAGCC
RNAcentral lists this ribosomal RNA (708 nucleotides) under Rathayibacter sp. 114ND6. Its description in RNAcentral is "bacterial SSU rRNA". It matches the Rfam family "Bacterial small subunit ribosomal RNA", at positions 75 to 762 of the family's 1533-position model. Lineage: Bacteria; Bacillati; Actinomycetota; Actinomycetes; Micrococcales; Microbacteriaceae. The record is from RNAcentral.